ACUGUAAGCAUUUGAAGAGUGUUGAUUUGCUUUACUGCAAUGGAAUUUGGGUGGAAGGCGUUGAGUUUGUAAUUCUGAAUUCUCCGGAGUUGAGAAAUGUACAGGUUGAAGAUCGUAAGUUAUCGGAAGCUGCAAGAAGAUGGAUGGCGAGUAAGUUUAUUGAGGUUCAAUCCUGAAUCCUGAUUAAGAACAGCAGAAAACUAUGCACAGCUAAAAGAUCUUUCCUAAUUUGAAUACGAAGCGUCCUCAUGUCGGCUCAGUAGGAUCAACCCAUGCGCAAGAGGCGCAUGACAAGUGAAAAAUCACCGCGAUGUAAACACAAGUCGACAUACUUUUGUACUUACCCACGAUUUAUUUUGGAAAUGGAAGAUUUUAGCUCAAACUUUCUAUAAUGAUUGGUACUUAUUUAUGUAAUGGUUGGUUUGUCAAGUACCAAGUAGAGCUUGAUGGACUUUUGGGAUCUAUCGAUCGACAUACAGAUUCGAUGUUUUAAAUGUGGUUGGAGGUGAAAAAGAAGAAGAUGCAUACAUGGUGCUGAACAUUCCUAGGUAAAUGAUAAAGUAUAAUGUUCAUGACAAGCAUCUCCUAUAAAAGAAAAAUUGUCAUUUAGUAGCAUACAAAAAGUAUCACUAGAAGCGAUGACACUACAUCCUUUUAGUGCCACCUUUUAAUACGCAGCUACAAAGUUUUGGGCUUUUAGUGGCACAAAUUUUGUGUCGCUAAGAAUUAUUCCUAAUUACAUAUCCGUAAUACUUUUAGUGACAACUUAGUUUUUGCCACAAUAUAAAAAGACUUUUGUCGCACAAAUUGUCU
Long non-coding RNA from Helianthus annuus (common sunflower), 813 nucleotides. RefSeq lists it as uncharacterized. The transcript is spliced from 4 exons. The record is from RefSeq and is a predicted model, not a curated record. NCBI's taxonomy places the organism in Eukaryota, Viridiplantae, Streptophyta, Magnoliopsida, Asterales, Asteraceae.